CCAUACGAUACUCUGGCAGUAUGUACGAGAAGGAGUCGGUUGCUAUCUUUGGUUAUCUAGCUGUAUGAGUGUUACUCGGCCGUCAUAAAGCUAGCUAACCGAAAGUAGGAAUGUCCUCCAAACCUGCGACUCGGACAGGAAUAAAUGGUGUCUGGGAGUAAAGACACAAAAUAACAUAAUUGAUAUGCAAUUACAGGCCAAUACCUCAGUGCCUUUCCGGUUGAUCCAGUGCCCUUGUCACUGCAGUGGCUGCCUGAGAUACACACAGAAACUCUGCAGUGUGAACAGCACACGCUGUCUACUAUAUGUGACUGCCAGCCAUUCACACCAGGUCUGGAUUGAGCGAGGGAAAAGUGGCACAGUCGUCACAAAAAAAGGAGAAAGCAGGAGGGGAAGAAAAAGGCCAACCCCCUUGUCCCUCUUCCCUUAAAUCUCCAUCACCGGAAGCCUUUGGUGCCAUCUGUGCCCCCGGAGAAAAGGACGGACGACAUGCCUCCACCCUGUGCCAACGGGGACAAAGGAGCUGCCAGUUAGAGCGGCCCCCCUCGCAGGCAGCCAGAGGACUCUGUGUGACUGACUGGGGCUGAGCUAUGGAAGCCAUCUUGAUGGAGAGUCUUGCUGCUGCUCCUAAAAUGGCUGUGUUGGCAUGAGGUCCUGCUGGUGUUGACAACCUCCAGAGGAAGCCUCUUCCAUCAGCCCUGAGCCCUGGGCCCUGGGCCCUGAACCCUGAACCCUGGGCCCUGAACCCUGAGCCCUGGGCCCCGAGCGCUGGCAGUUGGUUUAGACGCACCAGCGGGAAUAGCAUGUCAGAUCCCAGGAUGUCACGCAAGGCCUUCCUCAUUGGCAUCCUCUCCAGUCAAACACUGAGAAAUCAGGGCAAUGAAGAAUCGCCCCUAAAGUUAAUACUUGGAGAGAUUUACUGUAAGGACAAUGUUUGGAGUUAUUUGAAAACAUUGUUUGCAGAAGUUGCACCGGAUCAUCUGCAGAUAUAUUGCACUUGGGUAAUGAAUGUUCUCUUUUCCCUGGCUGAGAGUGUAUAGUUUCAAUAUAACUUUUAACAUUACAGCAGAAUGUAAGACAAUGUGUGUAUGAUGUGAAAUCAAAAGGGAUGAGAUCAACAUGUGUUCUUAAUCUAAGUGUGUGUGUGGUGCGUGUGUGUGUGUGUGUGUGCGUGUGUGUGUGUGUGUGUGUGUGUGUGUGUGUGUGUGUGUGUGUGUGUGUGUGGUUUGGCCCCUAUUGUACUCUUUAGAGUACUCUGGAGUGUACUGGGCUUCAGAGAAGCACUACAGUGCCCUAAUGUGUGGGCUGCUUACAAGAGAAGCUCUCUGGAUGUCUAUCCUCUGUCAUGUGCAAUUAGUUACUUUAUGAAUAGAACUGACUACUCUAUGCAAAUACAUGUGAAUGACUCACCCUCUGGCUGUAUUGCAAAUGUUGUUUAAUGUUUGACUGUCACAGUGAAAAGAAAGACAUUGUUUGGUGAAGAUUCCAUCCAUUUACUGUAUCCAUCAAAUGCUGCGUUUUUCCAAUUACAAAUAUUAUCUGCACGUGUUCAUAGUGAUCAGGGAAUGUUCUACAUGAAAUGUGUUGGAUACAGUAUUGAAGCAGUCAGAUUAAUAGCCGUCUCAUUGCCUGAUUGUUAUUAUUAUCCUUAUUCAGAGAGAUAGACAGUUUUGAACAUACCUGCAAUAAAGAAAGUGACACAUACUUGUACACUAAAGUCAUACAAAACAUGUUUUUGUAAUUGAGUUCUGACUUGUUAUAACUUCUGUGCUGUUUGAAUUGAAUGUGUAUACAGAAUAAAU
This is a long non-coding RNA of Oncorhynchus nerka (sockeye salmon), 1802 nucleotides long. RefSeq lists it as uncharacterized. NCBI's taxonomy places the organism in Eukaryota, Metazoa, Chordata, Actinopteri, Salmoniformes, Salmonidae. The transcript is spliced from 4 exons. The record is from RefSeq and is a predicted model, not a curated record.